Long non-coding RNA from Chelonia mydas (Green sea turtle), 3492 nucleotides. RefSeq lists it as uncharacterized. The record is from RefSeq and is a predicted model, not a curated record. NCBI's taxonomy places the organism in Eukaryota, Metazoa, Chordata, Testudines, Cheloniidae. The transcript has 3 exons.
GGUCAUCUAGUCCAACCCCCUGCUCAAAGCAGGACCAACACCAACUAAAUCAGAGCCUUAGGCAGGUGGGCAGGGGCGGAGUUUGGGGGGGGUUUCUGGGCAGCACCAAAAUUUCUACAACCCUGCCACCCCUGCUGGUGUUGUUCUGUGUGUCUAUGCUGCAGGCAUGCUGUUAGCUGCUGAGGCCCAGAUUUCCACAAAGACAUUGUACAGACAGAAAGAGACAACUUGGAAGGUUGCUUAAAAAGAAAAGAACAGUAGUUUGAUGCUGCUGAGGUGUCUGGAAUGUUGGAAGUAGUCCUGGAGGAGAAAGAUUAGUGGGCAGAAGCCAGCGCACAAGCAUUCACAAUACCAGAUCUGGCAGCAAUGUUGGAAUUUUGCAGCACAGAAGUCAAGGACUGAAGCAGCACGAGAAGAGGACUACCCUAAAAACCCUUACAGCUGAUUUUACCCCCACCGCCCACCUCAAGACUGAGGAUUGUUGGCUGGGUUGGUUUGCAGAUGGAUGGAUUGCUGUCAUCUAUGUGUUACUCAGGUUGUAGCUAAACAGAGGACUUUUGUCUCCAAGACUCAGUUCAGCACCUCUCACAAACACUGAAUACACGUUAAAGUAUUCUUCACAAAAAUGAGAACUUCAGUCUUAGGGCAUGUCUACACUGCCCUGCUGUUUGGACUAAUUUUGAAGAGGACUAUACUAGUGAGAAUUCAGGACCUUUAAGUACAUGCCCACAGCAUCUACCUGGGGGAGUGCAGCACUAUGGUGCGCACUGCUAUUCAUACUCCCUCAAUCUGAACUUCUGGGCAGUGUAGACAUGCCCUUAGAGCCUAUAGCAUUGAGUGGGAGCUUGGAAACAGUUUGAUUCACCCUCAUUAACUGGAAGAAGAGCUGAGGGUCAAAGCAAGAAGAGCAGGGGACACAACCAUGUCUGGGUAAAAUAAUGUACUGUAGGAGCUACUUUCUGUUUCCCUGUCCCACCCCAGCCUGCUCCAGUUCACUGUCCAGUCACCACAGAAUGCUAGAGGGGCAGCCUCAUAAAGGAGAAGGGAAGGGCAAUUCAGUGACUCUAGUGAGCUUUACCCAUGUCCUGACUAUCCCUAUCGUGGCCUGCUUGGGGUCCAUGUCCAAGGGUGGAGGUUUCCUUUUUUUCUAACUCCAGUCCAGUCCCAGCUACAGCUGUUUCUUUCACUGUCUCCCUUCCCUACAAGGCAUCACACGUUAUCUGGUAUAAUCAGCUCCUUUCUUCAGGGCUUGCUCUUGCUUCCUCUUAAGUUUGGCUCUAAUAGUCUCAGUUUCCAAAGAACUACAUUGAAAGGGAGAACUGCAGAUGAGCACAUAAGCCUAAAGGUGGAUUUUGGUUUGGUUUUAACUAACACUAUGAAUGGAGCUGGGGUGAUCAACCGGAGGUAACAACCAUCACAGGGAUGAGUCAUCUGGCUUUCCACCUUCCCCUGUUACAACAAGGUAGAGGGCUUGAGGCAAGUCCCUGGCAAUAGUUGCAAAGCUGGGCAGGGAUUCCCUUUUCCAGCAAAGAGGGCAAUUAUUAGCUGUCGUUACUUGCUCCUUUUUAAUUAGCCUUUGGAUGUGCAUUACAUAAUUCAGUCUCCUUCCCUGUCUCUGAUGGCUCAGUGCUCAAGGUAGCACCAGGGUCACAUGCAUGCUCUCUCUCAUUUUAUUGACUCAUUGAGUCACUCUCCCCCACACAAAUGAUUGUGAUUUGGGUGGGUUAAUUCUCCAAAUAAAAAUUAUCCAAAUAUUCUACACUAAAUUAUAACCUAAACAUAUUAUACUAAAAUUGCAAGUCAUUGUUUGGGUGGAUAAGGUCUAGAUGCAAGUCCGUCUAGCAGUUAAAAUAUGGCACCUCUUCUUGCUCAUCUGUUGGAGCAGGAAGUUUGAGAUAAAAACAGAAGAUCUGGAGACAAGUCAGUAGAGGCCCAAAGUGGCAAUGAGGUAUGAGGAAUUUAGGACAAACUUUUGUUAGGAUUAGCUUAUGUGGGUUGGCUCUAUAUAACCAAAUGCAUGUAUGGUAAUACUAAUAAUGCUUACCAUGUAUACACUGUGUAACAUUUUCAAAGGCCUGUGAUCACACUAAUCAUAAUAAUUAGCUACAUAUAUUUCAUAAUACAAUGCUUUUCUACGGCAUCAUUCACAAAAAGUCCCAGUGAACUUCACAUUUCUGACAUAAUUAAAAGCAGCAUCAGACACAUGCCUCUUCAGUUUUGAUUCAAAAACUAAACCAGAUUCUGAUUUCCGAAUACAUGUAAGAAGCUGAUUCCAUAAUCGUGGGGCAUAAAUACUGAAGGCUCCAGCCACCAAACGUUUCCAAUUUAUAUUUAGGACAAGCCAAUGAAUCAGACUCUGACCUCAAAUUAUGACUGGGAAUGUAAAAUUAAAGUAAAUUGUAAAGAUAUUCUUGACCAAUGUGAAGAAUCUUAUAGGUUAGCAGAAGUACUUUGUAAUCAUCAGGACAAAAAUGUAACUACUAACCAAUGAAAAAUUUCAGCUCCAGGACAUUUUAUUCCAAAGUCCCUGGCUGAAUCUUUUGCCUUUUCCAGUGAGACGGCUGCACUUACUUAUGUAAUGUAGCAGUCUACAGUACAUAUGUUCCGUAUCAGCAAAUUAAUUGAAUUUGUUCACAAGUUCCAGUUACUGGGAUCUCCUUAAACCAACUCAAUGAGACUUGAGAUUGAACUCUGAGUUUUAUUGAUCAUGUCUGCACUGAGUGGUCACAAACCUCACCUUAAGUCCUGCCCCAAACUUCUCAAAUUUGGCCUGGAUUCUCUGGACUUGGCAUCUUAUUUAAUUGUUCCAAAGCCCUUGUCAGGAAUGGACAUUACAUUUACCAGCCUUUAGCUGGGACUAAUACCGUACCUGAACCUAGAACUCAUUUGUUAUUUCCUUACAUAGCUCCAUCUCCUCCUGUACUUUCGAAACAGGCUUCAUUUCUCUGUGUCUCCAUUGUUUUCAUAUAAUGGAAAACAGGUCUUGAAUUUGCUGCUUUUUCAUUUAACAGUUGUCAAGAGGGAAGAGUUGCCUGCCAAAUGCUCCUGUCAUUCCAAUGUAACAGUGUGCUUGAUCUCAACAAAACUAAGUGUCUCACUUUUGAUUGACCAAAUGAUUUAAUACAGAUUGCUUUAAUAAAGUAGUCAGCAUAAUUUAUCCUUAAACCCAGUCUGGUGGAGCUUGCUCACCAGACUUUAAAUUGCUGACAAACAGCUUAUGGUUUGUCACAUUUGGCAAACUCUGUUUAGACAAAGCCCACUCUAGUGUUGGAAUAGAAAUAGGUGUUUUAACUAGAGCUGGGAAAUGCUGGUGGAAAAAAGGCAUGAAAAGUAUGUAAAAAAUGUUCAUGAACUCAUUUUGAUUGGUUUCAUUUGUACAGCUCCCUUACCUCCAUGUGAAUGUGUAUAUCAGUGUUUGUGAAAUCUGGAAGAUUGACGAUUUGCAGUGAGUCAUGUAAAACUUCCAAAAGCUACUUUUCAUGUGUAAAUUCA